RNAcentral lists this ribosomal RNA (329 nucleotides) under uncultured eukaryote. Its description in RNAcentral is "partial 18S ribosomal RNA". It matches the Rfam family "Eukaryotic small subunit ribosomal RNA", at positions 1470 to 1796 of the family's 1831-position model. The record is from RNAcentral.
CCCUUAGAUGUUCUGGGCCGCACGCGCGCUACACUGACGAUGGCAACGAGUUUUUCCUUCGCCGAAAGGUGUGGGUAAUCUUUUGAAACAUCGUAGUGCUGGGGAUAGAUCAUUGCAAUUUUUGAUCUUGAACGAGGAAUUCCUAGUAAGCGCGAGUCAUCAGCUCGCGUUGAUUACGUCCCUGCCCUUUGUACACACCGCCCGUCGCUACUACCGAUUGAAUGGUUUAGUGAGGACUCCUGAUUGGCGCCGCCGCCCCGGCAACGGAGCAGCGGACUGCCGAAAAGUUGUUCAAACUUGAUCAUUUAGAGGAAGUAAAAGUCGUAACA